AGGGGAAACGACAUCGAAAGCUUGCUUUUGAUGGGCGUCGACCGGCGCACGGGUGAGUAACGCGUAUCCAACCUGCCCAUCACUUGGGAAUAACCUUGCGAAAGUAAGACUAAUACCCAAUGACAUCCCACGAAGGCAUCUGAAAGAGAUUAAAGAUUUAUCGGUGAUGGAUGGGGAUGCGUCUGAUUAGCUUGUUGGCGGGGUAACGGCCCACCAAGGCAACGAUCAGUAGGGGUUCUGAGAGGAAGGUCCCCACAUUGGUACUGAGACACGGACCAAACUCC
This 284-nucleotide ribosomal RNA is filed under the name uncultured Prevotella sp. RNAcentral's name for it is "partial 16S ribosomal RNA". The stretch from base 47 to 284 matches the Rfam family "Bacterial small subunit ribosomal RNA", at positions 100 to 339 of the family's 1533-position model. Lineage: Bacteria; Pseudomonadati; Bacteroidota; Bacteroidia; Bacteroidales; Prevotellaceae. The record is from RNAcentral.